Molecule: ribosomal RNA, 630 nt
Filed under: uncultured Rhodobacterales bacterium
Lineage: Bacteria; Pseudomonadati; Pseudomonadota; Alphaproteobacteria; Rhodobacterales
Description: bacterial SSU rRNA
Rfam family: Bacterial small subunit ribosomal RNA
Source: RNAcentral
GUUAGUACGCGUGGGACAUACCCUUUUCUACGGAAUAGCCUCGGGAAACUGAGAGUAAUACCGUAUACGCCCUUCGGGGGAAAGAUUUAUCGGUGAAGGAUUGGCCCGCGUAAGAUUAGAUAGUUGGUGGGGUAAUGGCCUACCAAGUCUACGAUCUUUAGCUGGUUUGAGAGGAUGAUCAGCAACACUGGGACUGAGACACGGCCCAGACUCCUACGGGAGGCAGCAGUGGGGAAUCUUAGACAAUGGGCGAAAGCCUGAUCUAGCGAUGCCGCGUGAGUGACGAAGGUCUUAGGAUCGUAAAGCUCUUUCGCCAGGGAUGAUAAUGACAGUACCUGGUAAAGAAACCCCGGCUAACUCCGUGCCAGCAGCCGCGGUAAUACGGAGGGGGUUAGCGUUGUUCGGAAUUACUGGGCGUAAAGCGCACGUAGGCGGAUUGGAAAGUAGGGGGUGAAAUCCCAGGGCUCAACCCUGGAACUGCCUCCUAAACUAUCAGUCUAGAGUUCGAGAGAGGUAAGUGGAAUUCCGAGUGUAGAGGUGAAAUUCGUAGAUAUUCGGAGGAACACCAGUGGCGAAGGCGGCUUACUGGCUCGAUACUGACGCUGAGGUGCGAAAGCGUGGGGAGCAAAC